GACAGAGGGUGCGAACGUUGCUCGGAAUUACUGGGCGUAAAGAGCGCGCAGGCGGUCGUUCAAGUCGAGUGUGAAAGCCCCCGGCUCAACUGGGGAGGGUCACUCGAUACUGAUCGACUUGAAGGCAGGAGAGGGAAGCGGAAUUCCCGGUGUAGUGGUGAAAUGCGUAGAAAUCGGGAGGAACACCAGUGGCGAAGGCGGCUUCCUGGCCUGUUCUUGACGCUGAGGCGCGAAAGCUAGGGGAGCAAACGGG
This 253-nucleotide ribosomal RNA is filed under the name uncultured bacterium. RNAcentral describes it as "partial 16S ribosomal RNA". It matches the Rfam family "Bacterial small subunit ribosomal RNA", at positions 524 to 776 of the family's 1533-position model. The record is from RNAcentral.